RNAcentral lists this ribosomal RNA (300 nucleotides) under uncultured Brachyspira sp. Its description in RNAcentral is "bacterial SSU rRNA". It matches the Rfam family "Bacterial small subunit ribosomal RNA", at positions 496 to 795 of the family's 1533-position model. The record is from RNAcentral. Lineage: Bacteria; Pseudomonadati; Spirochaetota; Spirochaetia; Brachyspirales; Brachyspiraceae.
GCAUACUACGUGCCGGCAGACGGGGUAAACGGUGGGGGUCGGUGGUUAAUCGGAAGUUAUGGGCGUAAAGCGUCGGCAGGCUGUUUUGCAAGCCGGAUGUGAAAUGCCCGGGCUUAAGCUGGGAAUGGCAUUUGGGACUGCAAGGCUGGAGUGCGGCAGAGGAGACUGGAAUUCCUGGUGUAGCAGUGAAAUGCGUAGAUAUCAGGAGGAAUACCGAUGGCGAAGGCAGGUCUCUGGGCUGACACUGACGCUCAUGCACGAAAGCGUGGGGAGCAAACAGGAUUAGAUACCCGGGUAGUC